Non-coding RNA from Pelobates cultripes (western spadefoot toad), 908 nucleotides. Lineage: Eukaryota; Metazoa; Chordata; Amphibia; Anura; Pelobatidae. The record is from the annotation of a GenBank genome assembly.
GUAUAAGUUUAAUAAAAAUAAAAUAUAAGUUUCCAAAGAAAUUUAAAAUAUUAUAAAAUCCAAAUGUUUAUACAAGUCAGGACCAGCCAGUAGCAGUAAGUGGAUAUAGUCAUACAAUGAUUUCUACACAAUAAAAUGUUUAUGUUACAAAGCUAGGUUUAGUAUGACUGGAGUUAUUGUAAAUACCUUUCUAGAUCUUUCUAGAAAGAAGAAAAAACAAAUCUGAAACCAUUGCAUAUAUUUCUUUUUUUUAUCUUCAGUGCAUUUAGAACAGACCUAACUAUGGAAAGAUGUGUUGUGAUGCUAAGGAUCUAUUUUUCUUUUUGUAUGUACUCUGACAUAUUUUUUCUCAAUUCACUCUGUCAAGAUUAGAACCCCGAAACCUGAGGUUUGAACAUAUGACUAGAGAGCUUGAAAUGUAAAGAACAAAACAGGGACUGUGGUUAAAGACUAGUCAAUUUGUUCACUGGAAAAAGCAUCCCUGAUAGAAAAAGCUAAUGCAUUAUGUUUUAGCUAGUAAAUUUAAUAUGUUACUCUUAAGCAAUAUUAUUAUAUUUAUAUAAAAAUAUGAACAUUAACGUUCAGUACCUACAUAAAGCUGAGUCAACUCAUUAUAAUCCUUUUGUGCACCCUCUUUAGGGAACUGUGUGCUCGGGUGACUCUUCAAGAAAGCCUACCCAUAUGCCACCUUAAGAAGUAUGGUAGUAAUUUCAUUAAAAGGGAAUGGGAAACAUUUUCUACAAAUUCUUAUGGAAUACACAUCUCGAAAGAAAAUGUAUUUUCCUACUAACCAUACCAUUUAAAGAAAAUAUCCAGAUAUUCCCCAAGGAUAUCAUCCUUUACUCAAUAUAUAGCAUGCUGCUGCCACUGCCUAUUUAUAGUUACCAAUAUUCAAAAUAAAAAAAAUA